AACAAAAACACCCCGUCUUUUUUGGUUGGGUACCAUUAUAAGGUGAAACUCUGAUAUAAUUUGCACAUGGUUCAUAAGAAGAUUUACUAUACUCAAAGAUGUUGACCUAUUAUUACAUAUACAAAGAUUUUAUCCGAACUAGAGUUGGACACUUAUCUAAGGUUGGCAAAAUACUAGGAAAGCAUGGCCAAAAGAAACAGAAAGUGCCUAGUUGACACAGUGAUGGUUGAUUACUUUAUUAGUUGACCAAACACGGACCUUAAUCUUAUGAUGGCUGAUUACUUUAUUAGUUGACCAAACACGGACCUGUCUUUGCAGCACGUGUCCAGUAAUAUGCCUUUUUUCACCAAAACUUGCUUGCUCGAGUACUUGAAAAGUUGGAAUUCUCUGUCAGUAGAAAAUUAAGGCUGCUUGCUGGAGUACUUGAAAUUCUCUUUGUUGGUACAAAAUUAAGGGGAUCCUUUUGUUCAAACUCUCAGCAUUCAUCUCCUCAUGCAAUAAUCCCGACAAGCAGCCACUAGGCCCACUACAUUUCCUUGUCAUUCUAUCCACUCCAAAGCACUCCAGCCUGAUUGGUCCCUCUCGCAUAAUGGAAGCCAAGCCACAACUCACCUUUUUCAACACCUUCCUUUCCAUUGGCCCCGUCACAAUGCGUGAACAAGCAGCCCCCCCCCCCCCCCCCCCCCN
RNAcentral lists this long non-coding RNA (687 nucleotides) under Daucus carota (carrot). RNAcentral's name for it is "long non-coding RNA (DCAR_LNC002712)". Lineage: Eukaryota; Viridiplantae; Streptophyta; Magnoliopsida; Apiales; Apiaceae. The record is from RNAcentral.